GAAAGCAUAUGGAUGCAGGAAGUCGUCCCUUAUAUAUCGGACCAGAAGGCCUUCCAGGCUACAAUUUCCCAAGAGCCCGAACCACGGCCACUUCCUGAGCCCAAAGGAGUAGUUUCAGGCAGAGGAAGGGCCAAGAAAACUACAGGAAGGACGUGGAAAAAAAUCAGGAUACUGUGGUCUUCUGUGAGGGACCGGUAUAUAAGGGACCAAAAAGAGGAGGUGGAAGUACCGAGAGCAUCCAAGAAGUAAGAAUAUAAGUACGCGGAACACAACUUUCAGUGUCUCCCACCUGAAUCCCCAAAGCCAGGACAUGGAGUCCUCUUCUGCCCCAACCACCACCACAUCCACCCCCACCCCCAGCACUGCUGAACAAGGGCCCCAACCUUAUCGGGUGGAUCAGUUCACUGAGGGAAUACUACUUCCUUCAGUGCUCUGGUCAAUCCGGUGAGCACUGGUAGGAGACGUUGGGACGAUGGAGGAACUCAUCAUGCUGACGAGAGACCGCUUGAUGAGACUGGAUCCAACAAUGGCAGACUUAAGGGAGGAUUUUCACCAGACACGGCAGGCGGGGGCAGUGCCGUUGACUGGUUUCCCUUCUGACUGCCUAUUGUUUCUACAGAGCC
Molecule: long non-coding RNA, 623 nt
Organism: Hyla sarda
Lineage: Eukaryota; Metazoa; Chordata; Amphibia; Anura; Hylidae
Exons: 4
Source: RefSeq, a predicted model, not a curated record